CAGUCGCCGCGGGAAUGCGGAGGGGGCUAGCGUUGUUCGGAAUUACUGGGCGUAAAGCGCACGUAGGCGGCUUGGUAAGUUAGAGGUGAAAGCCUGGAGCUCAACUCCAGAAUUGCCUUUAAGACUGCCGAGCUAGCAGGUGAGAGAGGUAAGUGGAAUUCCGAGUGUAGAGGUGAAAUUCGUAGAUAUUCGGAAGAACACCAGUGGCGAAGGCGGCUUACUGGCUCAUACUGGACGCUGAGGUGCGAAAGCGUGGGGAGCAAACAGGAUUAGAUACCCGGGUAGUCCCUGUCUCUUAUAC
RNAcentral lists this ribosomal RNA (301 nucleotides) under uncultured bacterium. RNAcentral's name for it is "partial 16S ribosomal RNA". It matches the Rfam family "Bacterial small subunit ribosomal RNA", at positions 509 to 807 of the family's 1533-position model. The record is from RNAcentral.